This 509-nucleotide long non-coding RNA is filed under the name Homo sapiens (human). RNAcentral's name for it is "HSALNT0378057". The record is from RNAcentral. Lineage: Eukaryota; Metazoa; Chordata; Mammalia; Primates; Hominidae.
AUUCGCUCCCUCCUCACCCAGCUGUCAGGGCGCCGCGAAGCCGGUGCGAAGCUGCGGAGGACGUUUUCAACGUGCCAGAGGGAGCGCAAACUCCAUGGAGAUUCCUAGCGCAGAAGGAAUUCCUGCGGUCGGGAAUUUCUUGAAAAAGAUUCUUCGCAGGGGCCCUGAGCCGAUAAUGCUGAAAUUAACAUCUUUGGAUAUACAAUUCUCUGCUUCUGAAGAAUGAAAAGAUAAAUAACAGAGCUAAGAAAGGGACUGAUGAAACUUACAACAGCAGGUCUCAAAUUUUUGGUCUCAGGACCCCUUUAUGCUCUUAAAAAUGAUUGACAGCCUCCAAGAGCUUUUGUUCAUGCUUUGGUAAGGCUGUGAGAGCACAGAGCUGAAUUAGGGAUCUUGGACUUCAAGUUACUGACUAGCCCCAGCACUCGCCAAGCUCACAAAGAAGACAGAAACGAGGUAAACAUCCAACCAUGUUUAUGGAAGAGUUCAUCUCUCUGUCAGCAUUACGU